CCUACGGGAGGCAGCAGUAGGGGAUAUUGGACAAUGGGGGGGAACCCUGAUCCAGCGACGCCGCGUGAGUGAAGAAGUAUUUCGGUAUGUAAAGCUCUGUCAGCAGGGAAGAAAGCAAUGACGGUACCUGACCAAGAAGCCCCGGCUAACUACGUGCCAGCAGCCGCGGUAAUAAGGAGGGGGCAAUCGUUAUCCGGAAUUACUGGGUGUAACGGGGGCGUAGACGGGUGUGCAAGUCGGGAGUGAAAGUCGGGGGACUAUCCCCCGGACUGCAUUGGAAACUGUAUGGCUGGAGGGCAGGAGGGGUAAGUGGAAUUCCUGGUGGAGCGGUGAAAUGCGUAGAGAUUAGGAGGAACACUAGUGGCGAAGGCGGCUUACUGGACUGUAACUGACGUUGAGGCUCGAAAGCGUGGGGAGCAAACAGGAUUAGAUACCCCAGUAGUC
This 444-nucleotide ribosomal RNA is filed under the name uncultured bacterium. RNAcentral describes it as "partial 16S ribosomal RNA". It matches the Rfam family "Bacterial small subunit ribosomal RNA", at positions 338 to 795 of the family's 1533-position model. The record is from RNAcentral.